AUUGAACGCUGGCGGCAGGCCUAACACAUGCAAGUCGAGCGCUCGGCGGACGGGUGAGUAAUGUAUGGGGACUGCCCGCUAGAGGGGGAUAACUACUGGAAACGGUAGCUAAUACCGCAUACUAUCGGAUAACCCAUAUGGGAGUAGCUAGUAGGUGAGGGAAGGGCUCACCUAGGCGACGCUCCCUAGCUGGUCUGAGAGGAUGAUCAGCCACUCGGGGACUGAGAUACGGCCUAGACUCCUACGGAGGAAGCAGUGGGGAAUAUUGCACAAUGGGCGCAAGCCGGAUGCAGCCAUGCCGCGUGUAUGAAGAAGUCCCUAGGGUUGUAAAGUACUUUCAGUCGGGAGGCGUUACCGACAGAAGAAGCACCGGCUAACUCCGUGCCAGCAGCCGCGGUAAUAC
RNAcentral lists this ribosomal RNA (403 nucleotides) under uncultured bacterium. Its description in RNAcentral is "partial 16S ribosomal RNA". It matches the Rfam family "Bacterial small subunit ribosomal RNA", at positions 30 to 526 of the family's 1533-position model. The record is from RNAcentral.